Molecule: long non-coding RNA, 437 nt
Filed under: Homo sapiens (human)
Lineage: Eukaryota; Metazoa; Chordata; Mammalia; Primates; Hominidae
Description: HSALNT0299863
Source: RNAcentral
CCGCUUCCAGGCGCUUCCGCUUCCAGGCGCGCGGUGCUAGUACCGGCCCCCGGGCUGGGAACACCUCCAGGCCAGCGCUUUAGCAUCAUCCGAGGCUCUCCGCUUCCUCAGGGGGACCCGAGUUCUUCCACGCGACUCGCUCCUCUGAGAGGCGAUGCCUGGGAGUGUAAACCAUGCGAGUGUUCCUCUGCGGUUCCCCAAUUCCUAGCCCGACGCCUUGCACAGAGCGGGUCAUUCAAUGCAUGAAUGAAGAAAAGAGGAACCAAGGGGGGAAUUACGGAUGGAAAGCCAGUACUUGCUAUGGACCCCAGAGUGGAGAUUCUCUACAGAAUGACUAUUUGUGAGAAGGAUCUGAGCGGCCACUUCCAGUGAGAAAGAGCAUUUUGGAGAGAAGAGUAGCAUCUCUACAUACCUCCGAUGAGAAGCAUAAUUGCCGG